Molecule: non-coding RNA, 172 nt
Filed under: Capsicum annuum
Lineage: Eukaryota; Viridiplantae; Streptophyta; Magnoliopsida; Solanales; Solanaceae
Description: Bacterial large subunit ribosomal RNA
Rfam family: Bacterial large subunit ribosomal RNA
Source: Rfam by way of RNAcentral
AUGAGGAAGGACGUAGUAAUCGACGAAAUGCUUUGAGGAGUUGAAAAUAAGCAUAAAUCCAGAGAUUCUUGAAUAGGGCAACCUUUCGAACUAUUGUUGAAUCCAAGGCAGGCAAGAGACAACCCUAGCGAACUGAAACAUCUUAGGAGCCAGAAGAAAAGAAAGCAAAAGU